This is an RNA transcript of Arvicola amphibius (Eurasian water vole), 4907 nucleotides long. It is a transcript of the gene named methyl-CpG binding domain protein 1, with no coding region annotated. Lineage: Eukaryota; Metazoa; Chordata; Mammalia; Rodentia; Cricetidae. The record is from RefSeq and is a predicted model, not a curated record. The transcript is spliced from 17 exons.
UCCGCGCGCGACCCCCACCAACCCCCGCCCGGUGAAGCCGCAGUACGCAGGCGCUGGAGCCUCCCCACUGAGGGCAGGCGUGUCAAGGCUGCACACGGGUGCGUGUCCUGGUGGGCGCCCCAAAGGCAGCUCGUGGGUUUCCGGUUCCGGGAGUAACCAACCGCCGCAGAGUCGGCAACUAGUGCUUUGGAGGAUCCUGCGGUGGAGGAAGAAGAAGACUGGACCGGGCGGGACGCGCGGGGCGGGAUCCUCCCCAUGGGUCCACGGGCCUAGCGCAGUGGACGCCCAGGGCCUCGUGUCCAGCUGGCUUCUCUUCUUUCCUGAAGCAUCUAUGGCUGAGGACUGGCAGGACUGCCCAGCCCUGGGCCCUGGCUGGAAGCGUCGUGAGUCCUUUCGAAAGUCAGGGGCCUCUUGUGGACGCUCAGACAUCUAUUAUCAGAGUCCCACAGGCGACAAGAUUCGAAGCAAGGUUGAGCUGACUCGAUACCUAGGCCCUGCAUGUGAUCUCACCCUCUUUGACUUCAGACAAGGCAUCUUGUGCUACCCGGCUCCCAAGACCCAUCCCUUGCCUGUCCCCAGCAAGAAGAAAAAGAAGCCACCAGCCAAGGUUAAGAAGCAUCAGGGUGGGCUGCAGAAGAGUGAUGUCCGGAAGGCGGCCCCGCGGGCUGAGAAUGCGGCUGGCACUGGCACAGCUCCAGCUUCGUUACCUGUACCUGGUCGCUGUGAGAAUUGUGGAAUCCACUUCCCAUGGGAUGGUAUCAGAAGGCAGAGGCUCAAGACAUUAUGCGAAGACUGCCGAGCACAGAGAAUUGCCUUCAACCGAGAACAGAGAAUGUUUAAGAGAGUUGGCUGUGGAGAGUGUACAGCUUGCCUGGUGAAAGAAGACUGUGGGGCUUGCUCCAUCUGCCGCCUGCAGCUGCCCCAUGAUGUGGCCUCAGGGCUCUACUGCAAGUGUGAGCGCAGACGCUGCCUCCGGAUUGUGGAGAAGAGCCGAGGGUGUGGAGUAUGUCGGGGUUGUCAGAACCAAGAGGACUGUGGCCGUUGCCGAUUCUGCCUUCGCCCUCCCCGCCCUGGUCUCAAGCGCCAGUGGAGAUGUUUGCAGCGGCGAUGCUUGUGGGGUAAACGUGACCAUCGUAAGAGUAGCUCGCAGGUUGCUGCCCAACGUCACUCCCAAGCUCAGCCAGUGCCUCCACUUCCCGCACUGCAGCACCCAGAGCCCACAGAGCUGCACAUCAGCGACCUAGCGCCCUCAUCACCUGCUGAGUUCAUCUAUUACUGUGUAGACGAGGACGAGCUACAGCCCUACACGAAUCACCGGCAGAACCGCAAGUGCGGGGCCUGUGCAGCCUGCCUACGGCGGAUGGACUGUGGCCACUGCGACUUCUGCUGCGACAAGCCCAAAUUCGGGGGCAGCAACCAGAAGCGCCAGAAGUGUCGUUGGCGCCAAUGCCUGCAAUUUGCCAUGAAGCGACUGCUGCCCAGUACUGGGUCAGAGUCUGAGGAGGGAGCAGGAUCGCCUCCAUGUCACCCUUGUCGAAAGAGGCCUGGUUCUCCUCGCCAGCUCCAUCCAAGCCCUUCUUCAAAGGCCCCUUUGGCUGUGCACACAACCCCACCAUGCCCUGCCCAGGCUUCAGCGAAGCAGCAAACAGGUAGAGGCUUUAUGCCGACCCCACCUGACACAGACCUUGUGUUUUUACGAGAGGGCGCCAGCAGUCCUCUGCAGGUGCCUGGUCCUGCUGCAGCUUCCUCAAAAGCCCCGUUACAGGAGGCCCAAUGCUCUGCCCAGAGUUGGGUUGUGACCUUGCCACAGGUGAAGCAAGAGAAGGCGGAUGCCCCAGAGGAGUGGACAGCAGGCACAGCCUUCCUGACUUCUCCCACGUUGCAGCCUGGCUGCCCUAGCAAGGUUAGGGAGGCAGUAGACCCAGACCUUCAACCUGUGAAACAAGAGCCCCCUGGCCCUGAGGAGGACAGAGAAGAAAACAGAGAAGAUUAUGUUUCUGCAUCAGCCCCAGAGGAGGAGGCAGGAGGGGUUGGCACACCAGUGAUCACGGAGAUUUUCAGCCUGGGUGGAACCCGCCUACGGGACAUAGCAGCCUGGUGGCCAAGGUGUGCCCCAUACAGUCCAAGGACCUUAAAAAACCUGAAGCUAAAAUGCAGUAGACUGGAGACUUCUGCUGCCUAUAGGACUGAAGGUGAUAUCUGCACACCGGCUCUAUGAGAAACAACCCUGAUCUACCAGGGGCUGGGCCCAGGCCUGGUUGCAGGGCUUGUUUGUGAAUCAACUCUAGGAGAAAGACCUGCAAGCACAAUCGAGGAACAGGCCUGCCCAGGCCUUGAAGCUUAGAGGAAAGAAGCUGGAGAGGAAGAGAAGAGUAGAAGGCUAGGAGAACGUCCGCUCCUCCAAGGAUCUCAGUGUGAUGAGAAGGUGGAUGGAGGGGAGGGGAGGAUAUGAUCGGAGCCACUACCAACAACUCAAACAAGCCAUCUUCAUAACUGUUGGUGGCUUCCGGAUGAGACCUGGCAGUGUGUCUGCACAUUUUCUCAGGGAAACAGCAGUUGAAAUGCUACAGAAUAAAGGAGGAAAAGGCAUUGUUUGGUGAGCUCCUCCCGUGGAGCCACUUACUGAACCCUCACAGUAGUCCUUAGGAAGACAGUGAGUGAUAUUGAGCACUUCUGCAGGUAGGUAAACAGACUCAGAAGAGACAUAUGUACCAGUGUCAAACAGCUAGUGUUGGUAGAGUCUAGAAAUCCACCAGGCUAUACAAACUUUGUUCUUUAAUCCACUAAACUGUUAACUGCAAUCUUUUGUGCAAUAAUGUAUAUUACAAUAACAGUUUUAGUGACUUUGAAAGUAGCAGUAGAUCACUAUGAAGAGUAUAAAAUAUCCUUUACACCUUUGCCUCAGUUGAUGUUAGGGAAUGCCUAGACUGUGGGUGGAUGGGGUCACCUUCUCGUCAGAGCAUUGGUUCAUGUAGAAUCUAGGUUCCCUGAAGGCCCCAGAUGCUGCAUAGGAUCCCUCAGCCCCCAAAGUGUGUUCUUCCUCACUGCUGGCUGACAAUUUGCUUGAGCCCAGAUGGUCUCACUUUAGCCAGAACAGUGCUUGAAACUAAAGCUGUCAGCCUGGGCCGUCUUUUCCAGGCAGUAUCUUCUCUCUGAUGACCUUUGUGCAUGUUUCCUGCCCUCAGCCCAAAUGUUUGUUAGGAGGCUGAAUGAGCUUAUGCACUGAGUCCCGCCAAGGGCCAGUCUUGGCACAGCCUUACCUCACUUUCCAUCCUUAAAAUGCCAAAAAGAUAUAGAACUGGUUACUUAGCCAGGUUUACAGGGCCAGGACUGAGUGCCUCGACAUACUUUGUGUCCUAUGUGCCCCCCUUGCUUUAGCCUAGUCCCAAGUCCUGCUGCUUUAGGUAAUUCAGAUGUGGAUUACUCAUUUCUUAUUUCUAACUCACAAGGCACAGCUCUCUGCCACCGUCUACUCUUCCUUUGCCUUGCUUUGCCUGGUUCUAUCCUGGAGUCAUACUGCUUUUUAAGCCCUAGAGCACACCACUUGUCCCUAGCAUUCUGAUAAUUCUGACAGUGAUGUUCUAAGGGUAAUGUCUUUGGUUGGCAUUUGACUUGUGAACAGAGAUUCUGAUUACUAUGUGUAUUGACUAGGGUAUAGUCAAAAAAGGUCAGAACCACUACAACAAAGACCAAUGUAUGUGUUUUAAGGGAGUUUUGGGAGACAUUUUACAUUAUGUAAUUUUGGGAGAUAGUUUAGUAGCCCCUAAGACUGUCAGUUGUUUGUAAUACUGGAGCUCAAAGUAUUCAGGACAGGCAGUGAGGAAGGGGAGGUGGAUGGACCCAUGGGAGCCCAUGAACAAGAGUUGGAAUUCAAGAUGGCCUGAAAUCCAUGUUAGUGUCUCACCGUCUCCCACUUUGAUGAUGUUUGUGUCCUGAAGAAGAAGCUAGUGGAAGUAGCAUCUGGCCUAGGACUAGAGAAGCUGAAGGAAGAUCCCAGGGAAGUUGUAGCAGCUGGAGGCCUGGCUGUAGGAUUUGCUGUUUCCCCAUAGCAAGGCUACAUAAGCUGUUAGCAGUAAAUGAAAAUGAGUAUUUUACUGAGCUGCAGUUGAAAGAAGAAAUAUUGUAGGCGAGAAAACAAUUAUUAAGAGAAGAAAGACAUUCUUUUAUGGCUGAAAAGCUGAACCCAGAAUUCAGGAAAUGGACCCCAAGUCUAGAGAUGUACCGUAUAGAAAAUCUGAAGUGGCGGGGUUACAAAUAAUUAAGCAUGCUAAUUUGAAAAAACCGACCUUAAGAGGGCAUAUCCAUAGUCGCACUAAAACUAGUAGUGUCCACCAGUAACCUUGUCACUGCCCCCUCUCCCCCGUCUGCUUUUCUUAUCUCCCCCCUCUUAAGAACAGGGGUACCAAAGUAGCAUUCAUAAUUGGCUCUUGAAAAUUAUAACUCCAUCUUACUAUUAGUGAGAACUACAGCUCCGGUCCCCAUGUGUGCUGAGGACCAUCCAGUUCCUUGGACUGUGUUGCCAGUUUUGCCUGGGAUCCUAAAUCUCAAGAAUUCAGUAGCUGAACUUGUGAGCCACAGUUCAGAUCCAUUCUGAUUGCUCCUUUGGGAGAUUUUGUGUUCAACCCAGUAAGAUUACUGCCCCACCAGUAUAUCUGAGCUGCCUGCUUCCUGUGUUCACCCGAAGUGUAAGCCGUUUUCUCUUGAGUACAGUAGAAGACUUUGCAGUACUGGUUGCGUGGCUCUAUAUAAAACACUUAGGCUCUUGGAGCCCUGAUCGACUUCACUGUAAAAUAAUGCUAAUGAUACCUUCAGUUCUUUCAACCCUGUAAGAUUCUUGUCAAUCUCAAAGGUUGUUUUUGAAAAUACUUUGCAAAUUGUAAAAAAGAAAAAAAAAACCUACUCAAGCA